RNAcentral lists this ribosomal RNA (253 nucleotides) under uncultured bacterium. RNAcentral describes it as "partial 16S ribosomal RNA". It matches the Rfam family "Bacterial small subunit ribosomal RNA", at positions 524 to 776 of the family's 1533-position model. The record is from RNAcentral.
CACGUAGGGCGCAAGCGUUGUCCGGAAUUAUUGGGCGUAAAGAGCUCGUAGGCGGUCUGUUGCGUCCGCUGUGAAAACCCGGGGCUUAACCCCUGGCUUGCAGUGGAUACGGACAGACUAGAGGUAGGUAGGGGAGAAUGGAAUUCCCGGUGUAGCGGUGAAAUGCGCAGAUAUCGGGAGGAACACCGGUGGCGAAGGCGGUUCUCUGGGACGGUACUGACGCUGAGACGCGAAAGCGUGGGGAGCGAACAGG